This 617-nucleotide ribosomal RNA is filed under the name Anaplasma phagocytophilum. RNAcentral's name for it is "bacterial SSU rRNA". It matches the Rfam family "Bacterial small subunit ribosomal RNA", at positions 830 to 1444 of the family's 1533-position model. The record is from RNAcentral. Lineage: Bacteria; Pseudomonadati; Pseudomonadota; Alphaproteobacteria; Rickettsiales; Anaplasmataceae.
AUAAUUUAUCUCCGUGUUGUAGCUAACGCGUUAAGCACUCCGCCUGGGGACUACGGUCGCAAGACUAAAACUCAAAGGAAUUGACGGGGACCCGCACAAGCGGUGGAGCAUGUGGUUUAAUUCGAUGCAACGCGAAAAACCUUACCACUCCUUGACAUGGAGAUUAGAUCCUUCUUAACAGAAGGGCGCAGUUCGGCUGGAUCUCGCACAGGUGCUGCAUGGCUGUCGUCAGCUCGUGUCGUGAGAUGUUGGGUUAAGUCCCGCAACGAGCGUAACCCUCAUCCUUAGUUGCCAGCGGGUUAAGCCGGGCACUUUAAGGAAACUGCCAGUGGUAAACUGGAGGAAGGUGGGGAUGAUGUCAAGUCAGCACGGCCCUUAUGGGGUGGGCUACACACGUGCUACAAUGGUGACUACAAUAGGUUGCAAUGUCGCAAGGCUGAGCUAAUCCGUAAAAGUCAUCUCAGUUCGGAUUGUCCUCUGCAACUCGAGGGCAUGAAGUCGGAAUCGCUAGUAAUCGUGGAUCAGCAUGCCACGGUGAAUACGUUCUCGGGUCUUGUACACACUGCCCGUCACGCCAUGGGAAUUGGCUUAACUCGAAGCUGGUGCGCUAACCGAAA